AAAGAACACGUAGAAGCCGUAAGCGUCAACUGGCAUGAGUAACGCGUGCGUAAAAUAACGCGACAGGACAGGAGGAGUUGCUGGAACAUACGUCGUUGUUGUUGGCUCUUUAUUUCUCCCACGUGAGUAAAUUGUGUUUGGGUUGUGUGGGCCAAAGCUUUUCUAGAUUUCGGCUUUGUCUUUGGACUCUCAACACUCGUAACCAGCCGUCACUAGAAUAACUGGUGCCAGUUGCGUUAACUACUAGUACAAGAGGUUUCGUUUUUUCAACUAACCUUAGAUUUUGUUUUUUUAUUAUUAUUUAUCUCAUGUCGGCAUUUUGUUUUGGGCCAGGUAAGUAGUGUGUGUUUCCGGCUGUGACUGCUGAGCUCAUAGUACAACCACACCAUUCCAAUCCAAGUAUCACUUUCGUUUGUGAACACUUCAUUCUCC
RNAcentral lists this long non-coding RNA (432 nucleotides) under Phaseolus vulgaris (common bean). RNAcentral's name for it is "long non-coding RNA (PVUL_LNC000126)". The record is from RNAcentral. Lineage: Eukaryota; Viridiplantae; Streptophyta; Magnoliopsida; Fabales; Fabaceae.